Long non-coding RNA from Archocentrus centrarchus (flier cichlid), 1172 nucleotides. RefSeq lists it as uncharacterized. NCBI's taxonomy places the organism in Eukaryota, Metazoa, Chordata, Actinopteri, Cichliformes, Cichlidae. The record is from RefSeq and is a predicted model, not a curated record. The transcript is spliced from 3 exons.
AAUGACAGCAGCAUCUCCGCUCUGUCGCCCCGCGCCUGUCAGUAGUCACUAACCGACUUGAUUACAAGUCUGAAAGUCCGCUACUGACCGGGCCCACGGUGCUCGCCGCUGAGCUACGCCCCUCGGUCUGUCAGUUUGGUGACCUACUUCGAGGCAAAAGUUCCCCCUUUUACCAACGGCGCGGUAAACUUGGUGCAGAUUGGUGUUUAUCUGGAAGUCAUUUCUCAUGACCCUUUUUUUGCACUUGGGGUGCACGCCAAGAGAAGAAAUGCAUGGACGCGAGGUUUUCCUGGGGAUUAUUAGACCUCACACCGACCUCUGAAGUCUGACCACCGGAGGGAUCCCAGAGACCGCUGUCUCUUCUACCAUGGAGCACGAACUGAGAAAUGGCCUGUCUAUAUGGACCAUUGUGGCCAUUGUUUGUAACUCUGUGGUAGGCUUCCUCAUCAUCAUCCUCUUUGUCAUCCUCUACAAGGCCUGCCAGGUGCCUUCACACCAAGAGAAAGUGCCUGUUUUCACAGCAAAGCUGGAGCAGAAGAAGGAUGAACAGAAGUAUAUGCUGACUACAGCAUAAUCAAGACCCACAGAUAUGAACUCUAAUGGAGUUCAAAACUUGAACUACAUAUAUGCCAUUAUAUUUCCUCACUAUUUCCUUUUGUGUUACAUAAAUCACUGUUUACAUCGCUGCUUCUUGACUGUGCCAGUCAGUGAAGCUCAGAGUAAGCUAACUGCAUUAAGAGUUGUGGCAAGACCAACAACAACAAGCGGGCCCAAUCCUCUUAUCUCCGCUGUGUGUCGCUGGGACUGUCCAUCUGUCAGUCAGUUUGGUUUGCUCAGCGCAGACACACCAUGAUCUCCUCCUGUGCUCCAUUCCUUUUCAACCCGUCAUCUGAGGCAACAGAGUGGAUGUGGAGGACAAACAACAAAGUUAACUGGGAAGGAAGAACUGAGGUGACAAGACUUUCCCUUAUUUGUUUCCCAUCUGACGAGACGAAUGCCAAAGUUCGGCAAACUGGCCAGAAAAGAUCCAGCGAUCUACCCCACAGUGUGCUGCUUGGAUGUGAAGGUCAGCACAGUCUGACUCACACAGCGUAUGAACCACUGCACUAAUGUUCCCUGGUUUUCAAAUGUGAUUUUUCUCUUCAAGACUACUGAAGGAGUUCACCGCUAUA